UACAGAGGCCUCGAGCGUUAGGCGGAAUCACUGGGCUUAAAGCGUGUGUAGGCGGAUGUCUAAGUGCUUUGUGAAAUCCCACGGCUCAACCGUGGAAUUGCUUGGCAUACUGGAUGUCUUGAGCCAUCUAGGGGCGAGCGGAACAAGUGGUGGAGCGGUGAAAUGCGUAGAUAUCGCUUGGAACGCCGAAGGUGAAAACAGGUUGCUGGGGAUGUGCCGACGCUGAGACACGAAAGCCAGGGGAGCAAACGGG
RNAcentral lists this ribosomal RNA (253 nucleotides) under uncultured bacterium. RNAcentral's name for it is "partial 16S ribosomal RNA". It matches the Rfam family "Bacterial small subunit ribosomal RNA", at positions 524 to 776 of the family's 1533-position model. The record is from RNAcentral.